CGGCAAACCGGUGGGAGCAUGUGGUUUAUUCGAAGCAACGCGAAGAACCUUACCAGGUCUUGACAUCCUCUGACAACUCUAGAGAUAGAGCGUUCCCCUUCGGGGGACAGAGUGACAGGUGGUGCAUGGUUGUCGUCAGCUCGUGUCGUGAGAUGUUGGGUUAAGUCCCGCAACGAGCGCAACCCUUGAUCUUAGUUGCCAGCAUUUAGUUGGGCACUCUAAGGUGACUGCCGGUGACAAACCGGAGGAAGGUGGGGAUGACGUCAAAUCAUCAUGCCCCUUAUGACCUGGGCUACACACGUGCUACAAUGGAUGGUACAAAGGGCUGCAAGACCGCGAGGUCAAGCCAAUCCCAUAAAACCAUUCUCAGUUCGGAUUGUAGGCUGCAACUCGCCUACAUGAAGCUGGAAUCGCUAGUAAUCGCGGAUCAGCAUGCCGCGGUGAAUACGUUCCCGGGCCUUGUACACACCCCGCCCGAAA
This 480-nucleotide ribosomal RNA is filed under the name Priestia megaterium. RNAcentral's name for it is "bacterial SSU rRNA". It matches the Rfam family "Bacterial small subunit ribosomal RNA", at positions 922 to 1399 of the family's 1533-position model. Lineage: Bacteria; Bacillati; Bacillota; Bacilli; Caryophanales; Bacillaceae. The record is from RNAcentral.